UAACAUAAUACAAGCAUCAUUAGACCAACCC
Molecule: non-coding RNA, 31 nt
Filed under: Mus musculus (house mouse)
Lineage: Eukaryota; Metazoa; Chordata; Mammalia; Rodentia; Muridae
Source: RNAcentral